UUUGAACGCUGGCGGCAGGCCUAACACAUGCAAGUCGAGCGGAUGAAGAGAGCUUGCUCUCUGAUUCAGCGGCGGACGGGUGAGUAAUGCCUAGGAAUCUGCCUGGUAGUGGGGGACAACGUUUCGAAAGGAGCGCUAAUACCGCAUACGUCCUACGGGAGAAAGCAGGGGACCUUCGGGCCUUGCGCUAUCAGAUGAGCCUAGGUCGGAUUAGCUAGUUGGUGAGGUAAAGGCUCACCAAGGCGACGAUCCGUAACUGGUCUGAGAGGAUGAUCAGUCACACUGGAACUGAGACACGGUCCAGACUCCUACGGGAGGCAGCAGUGGGGAAUAUUGGACAAUGGGCGAAAGCCUGAUCCAGCCAUGCCGCGUGUGUGAAGAAGGUCUUCGGAUUGUAAAGCACUUUAAGUUGGGAGGAAGGGCAGUAAGCUAAUACCUUGCUGUUUUGACGUUACCGACAGAAUAAGCACCGGCUAACUUCGUGCCAGCAGCCGCGGUAAUACGAAGGGUGCAAGCGUUAAUCGGAAUUACUGGGCGUAAAGCGCGCGUAGGUGGUUCGUUAAGUUGGAUGUGAAAGCCCCGGGCUCAACCUGGGAACUGCAUCCAAAACUGGCGAGCUAGAGUAUGGCAGAGGGUGGUGGAAUUUCCUGUGUAGCGGUGAAAUGCGUAGAUAUAGGAAGGGACACCAGUGGCGAAGGCGACCACCUGGGCUAAUACUGACACUGAGGUGCGAAGCGUGGGGAGCAAACAGGAUAGAUACCCUGGUAGUCCCGCCGUAACGAUGUCCACUAGCCGUUGGG
This 800-nucleotide ribosomal RNA is filed under the name uncultured bacterium. RNAcentral describes it as "bacterial SSU rRNA". It matches the Rfam family "Bacterial small subunit ribosomal RNA", at positions 28 to 827 of the family's 1533-position model. The record is from RNAcentral.